Molecule: ribosomal RNA, 1582 nt
Filed under: Verrucomicrobia bacterium S94
Lineage: Bacteria; Pseudomonadati; Verrucomicrobiota
Description: bacterial SSU rRNA
Rfam family: Bacterial small subunit ribosomal RNA
Source: RNAcentral
UUGAUGGAGAGUUUGAUCCUGGCUCAGAACGAACGUUGGCGGCGUGGAUUAGGCAUGCAAGUCGAGCGGGAUUCCAUUUUUUCAAUUCUUCGGAAGAGAAGUUAUGGAUGAGAGCGGCGAACGGGUGAGUAAUAUAUGGGUAAUUUGCCUCUUUGUUCGGGAUAGCCAUCGGAAACGAUGAUUAAUACCGGAUGUGUUCAGGUGCUGCAUGGCACCUUAUAUAAAGGCGGGGAUUCUUCGGAACCUGUCGCAAGGAGAUAAGCCCAUAUCCUAUCAGCUUGUUGGUGAGGUAACGGCUCACCAAGGCUUACGGGUAGCGGGUCUGAGAGGAUGAUCCGCCACACUGGAACUGAGACACGGUCCAGACUCCUACGGGAGGCUGCAGUCGAGAAUCAUUGUCAAUGCACGAAAGUGUGAACAUGCGACGCCGCGUGGAGGAAGACGGCCUUUGGGUUGUAAACUCCUGUCAGCAGGGAGGAAGGAUGGUUUCCCUAAUACGGAGGCCAUUUGACAGUACCUGCAGAGGAAGUCACGGCUAACUCUGUGCCAGCAGCCGCGGUAAUACAGAGGUGGCGAACGUUGUUCGGAUUUACUGGGCGUAAAGGGUCCGCAGGCGGUCCUGUGUGUCGGAUGUGAAAGCCCACGGCUCAACCGUGGAAUUGCAUUCGAAACUGCAGGACUAGAGUACUGGAGGGGAGAAGGGAACACUUGGUGUAGCGGUGAAAUGCGUAGAUAUCAAGUGGAACACCGGCGGCGAAGGCGCUUCUCUGGACAGAUACUGACGCUCAUGGACGAAAGUUAGGGUAGCGAAAGGGAUUAGAUACCCCUGUAGUCCUAACCGUAAACGGUGUGCGCUAGGCGUGGGUGGCUUUACCCCCAUCCGUGCCUGAGCUAACGCAUUAAGCGCACCGCCUGGGGAGUACGGUCGCAAGAUUAAAACUCAAAGGAAUUGACGGGGACCCGCACAAGCGGUGGAGCAUGCGGCUUAAUUCGAUGCAACGCGAAGAACCUUACCUGGGCUUGACAUUCAGCUGCAUACGACCCGAAAGGGACGUAGCCUUCGAGGGUGCUGAACAGGUGCUGCAUGGCUGUCGUCAGCUCGUGCCGUGAGGUGUUGGGUUAAGUCCCGCAACGAGCGCAACCCCUGUGUUUAGUUGCCAUCAGUUCGGCUGGGAACUCUAAACAGACUGCCUGUGAAAGCAGGAGGAAGGUGGGGAUGACGUCAAGUCAGUAUGGUCCUUAUGUCCAGGGCUGCACGCGUGCUACAAUGGGAUGUACAAUGGGAAGCUAAGCGGCGACGUGGAGCAAAUCCUCAAAACAUCCCCCAGUUCGGAUCGUAGUCUGAAACUCGACUGCGUGAAGUUGGAAUCGCUAGUAAAGGCGUAUCAGCUACGACGCCUUGAAUACGUUCCCGGGUCUUGUACACACCGCCCGUCACAUCAUGGAAGUCAGUUGCACCCGAAGUCGUUGAUCCAACCCGUCAAGGGAGGAAGGCGCCUAAGGUGUGAUUGAUAACUGGGAUGAAGUCGUAACAAGGUAGCCGUUGGGGAACCAGUGGCUGGAUCACCUCCUUUCUAAGGAG